UGAGACCGGCGCACGGGUGCGUAACGCGUAUGCAAUCUACCUUGUACAGAGGGAUAGCCCAGAGAAAUUUGGAUUAAUACCUCAUAGUAUCUUCGGAAGGCAUCUUCUGAUUAUUAAAGUUCCAACGGUACAAGAUGAGCAUGCGUCCCAUUAGUUAGUUGGUAAGGUAACGGCUUACCAAGACUAUGAUGGGUAGGGGUCCUGAGAGGGAGAUCCCCCACACUGGUACUGAGACACGGACCAGACUCCUACGGGAGGCAGCAGUGAGGAAUAUUGGGCAAUGGGCGAGAGCCUGACCCAGCCAUGCCGCGUGCAGGAAGACGGUCCUAUGGAUUGUAAACUGCUUUUAUACGGGAGGAAACCCUGCUACGUGUAGCAGAUUGACGGUACCGUAGGAAUAAGGAUCGGCUAACUCCGUGCCAGCAGCCGCGGUAAUACGGAGGAUCCAAGCGUUAUCCGGAAUCAUUGGGUUUAAAGGGUCCGUAGGCGGCCUUAUAAGUCAGUGGUGGAAUCUCCUAGCUCAACUAGGAA
This 531-nucleotide ribosomal RNA is filed under the name uncultured Flavobacterium sp. RNAcentral describes it as "bacterial SSU rRNA". It matches the Rfam family "Bacterial small subunit ribosomal RNA", at positions 90 to 619 of the family's 1533-position model. Lineage: Bacteria; Pseudomonadati; Bacteroidota; Flavobacteriia; Flavobacteriales; Flavobacteriaceae. The record is from RNAcentral.